This 56-nucleotide unclassified non-coding RNA is filed under the name uncultured eukaryote. RNAcentral's name for it is "partial contains small subunit ribosomal RNA and internal transcribed spacer 1". The record is from RNAcentral.
UGGUAAUUGGGGUGAAGUCGUAACAAGGUAGCCGUAGGUGAACCUGCAGAAGGACA